Molecule: ribosomal RNA, 85 nt
Filed under: uncultured eukaryote
Lineage: Eukaryota
Description: partial small subunit ribosomal RNA
Source: RNAcentral
UCACUAUUGCUGAUGAGUGUUAAGGUGAAUCUUCUUGAUCGUGUCAACGAAAAAUUAAGUAAACUUUAGCACUUAGAGGGAAUAA